AGGAUUAACGCUGGCGGCGUGCCUAACACAUGCAAGUCGAACGAGGUAGCAAUACCUAGUGGCAGACGGGUGAGUAACGCGUGGUCAACCUACCGUUGAGUGGGGGAUAACUAGCCGAAAGGUUAGCUAAUACCGCAUACGUCUCCGAGGGGCAUCCCUUGGCGAUAAAAGGAGCAAUCCGCUCGAUGACGGGACCGCGUCCCAUUAGCUAGAUGGUGGGGUAACGGCCUACCAUGGCACCGAUGGGUAGCUGGUUUGAGAGAGCGACCAGCCACACUGGGACUGAGAAACGGCCCAGACUCCUACGGGAGGCAGCAGUGAGGAAUUUUCCGCAAUGGGCGCAAGCCUGACGGAGCGACGCCGCGUGUGGGAAGAAGGCCUUCGGGUCGUAAACCACUGUCGAAGGGGACGAUAAUGACGGUACCCUUGGAGGGAGCCCCGGCUAACUACGCGCCAGCAGCCGC
RNAcentral lists this ribosomal RNA (464 nucleotides) under uncultured bacterium. Its description in RNAcentral is "SSU rRNA". It matches the Rfam family "Bacterial small subunit ribosomal RNA", at positions 26 to 518 of the family's 1533-position model. The record is from RNAcentral.